This 796-nucleotide long non-coding RNA is filed under the name Heterocephalus glaber (naked mole-rat). RNAcentral describes it as "lncRNA (ENSHGLG00100043230.1)". Lineage: Eukaryota; Metazoa; Chordata; Mammalia; Rodentia; Bathyergidae. The record is from RNAcentral.
CAGCCACCCCAGGUGUCUGUCCCAGAGCUGCCCCUAAGCCUGACCUCUGAGGGGCCUUGCAGGGAACCCAGCAGCCAGGUGGACUUUUCCAGCUCUGGAUGAAUGUGAACAGGGCCAUGCCUGGGGCCGAGUCAUCGCUUGCUCACCGACCUUCGGGAUCCUCCACCUGAGGGCCAGAAUGCUCUCCGGUGCUCGAGCCCUGUUAGGAUGCAUGGUAGGAGGUCUCCAUCUCUUGCCUGGACCCCAGCUCCAUGGGGCAGACAGCAUGUGCCUGGCACACAAGAACACAAUAAAUACCGACUGCAAGGGACACAAAGGUAACUGGGGCAGGAUGCGUGGCCUGGUGUGGAUGCUCAAUGCAAUGAGCUACUAUUGUUCACUGAGCCAUGAAGGGGGAGGCGGGGCCUGAGAUCCACAGCCUCCGCGGUUUGUGCAUGAGGAUAGGCAGGUGCACCCCUCCUUUCCGGAGGCUGUCCCCCCCAGGCCCCUCCCAGCGCUGUGGCAAGGUAGGCCCCAGUGGCCAGCUUGGCAGAGGGGCGUGAGGGCCCUGCCACGUGCUCCUCCCCCAGAACAGGGGGCAGGCUGCUCUCUGGCCCACGCUGGAAAGGGGGGCAGAGGCCAGGUCCCCUCCCUGGAGCCCGCACCCUGGUGAGGGAGGCCUUGAGAGCUGGUUUCCUUCCUGCAUCAGGGCUCUGUAUUGACAGAGCUCCUCUAUAGCAGGCCCAGGGCUCGCAGCUCAUGGGUGUGAAAAAACCUUGCCCAGGACACAGUGGACUGACUGGAUCCCGAUGUGGAU